UGGGGAAUCUUGGACAAUGGGGGCAACCCUGAUCCAGCGACGCCGCGUGGAUGAAGAAGGCCUUAGGGUUGUAAAGUCCUUUCACCGGGGAGGAUGAUGACGUUACCCGGAGAAGAAGCACCGGCUAACUCCGUGCCAGCAGCCGCGGUAAGACGGAGGGUGCUAGCGUUGUUCGGAAUCACUGGGCGUAAAGGGCGCGUAGGCGGCCUAGAUAGUCAGAUGUGAAAGCCCGGGGCCCAACCCCGGAACUGCAUUUGAUACUCCUAGGCUAGAGUUCGAAAGAGGAGAGUGGAAUACCCAGUGUAGAGGUGAAAUUCGUAGAUAUUGGGUGGAACACCAGUGGCGAAAGCGGCUCUCUGGUUCGAUACUGACGCUGAGGCGCGAAAGCGUGGGGAGCAAACAGGAUUAGAUACCCCCGUAGUCC
Molecule: ribosomal RNA, 424 nt
Filed under: uncultured prokaryote
Description: bacterial SSU rRNA
Rfam family: Bacterial small subunit ribosomal RNA
Source: RNAcentral